GUCUUUUUGAUUUUAAUUUAAAGUUUAACCUGCCCAUUGAAAAUUUUUAAAAGGCUGCGGUAUUUUGACUGUACAAAGGUAGCAUAAUCAUUAGUUUUUUAAUUGAAAACUUGUAUGAAUGGUUGGAUGAGAAAUUAACUUUUUUAAAAAAAUAAUUGAAUUUUACUUUUUAAUUAAAAGGUUAAAAUAAAUUUAAAAGACGAGAAGACCCUAUAGAGUUUUAUAAUUUAUAUUUAAUAUUUAAAAAGAUUAAUUAAAAUUUUAUAAAAGAAAAUAUUUUGUUGGGGUGAUAAUAAAAUUUAAAUAACUUUUAUUUUUUUUUACAUUAAUAUAUGAAUUUAUGAUCCAUUAUUGAUGAUUAGAAAUUUAAAUUACCUUAGGGAUAACAGCGUAAUUUUUUUUUAAAGUUCAUAUUAAUAAAAAAUUUUGCGACCUCGAUGUUGGAUUAAGAUUUAAUUUAGGUGCAGCAG
RNAcentral lists this ribosomal RNA (470 nucleotides) under Pseudolycoriella wernermohrigi. RNAcentral describes it as "partial 16S ribosomal RNA". Lineage: Eukaryota; Metazoa; Arthropoda; Insecta; Diptera; Sciaridae. The record is from RNAcentral.